RNAcentral lists this ribosomal RNA (440 nucleotides) under uncultured bacterium. RNAcentral's name for it is "partial 16S ribosomal RNA". It matches the Rfam family "Bacterial small subunit ribosomal RNA", at positions 338 to 795 of the family's 1533-position model. The record is from RNAcentral.
CCUACGUGUGGCAGCAGUGGGGAAUAUUGCACAAUGGGGGAAACCCUGAUGCAGCGACGCCGCGUGAGUGAAGAAGUAUUUCGGUAUGUAAAGCUCUAUCAGCAGGGAAGAAAAUGACGGUACCUGAUUAAGAAGCCCCGGCUAACUACGUGCCAGCAGCCGCGGUAAUACGUAGGGGGCAAGCGUUAUCCGGAUUUACUGGGUGUAAAGGGAGCGUAGACGGCAGCGCAAGUCUGAAGUGAAAUGCCGGGGCUUAACCCAGGAACUGCUUUGGAAACUGUGCAGCUAGAGUGCAGGAGAGGGAAGUGGAAUUCCGGGUGUAGGGGUGAAAUGCGGAGAUAUCAGGAGGAACACCAGUGGCGAAGGCGGCUGACUGGACUGUAACUGACGUUGAGGCUCGAAAGCGUGGGGAGCAAACAGGAUUAGAUACCCUUGUAGUC